CUUCACCUCUGACUUGGGAGUCAUUGCUUGAUCAAUUGCUUGGGCAGUGGAUAGCGACAUUCUGUCAGCACUGUUGCGAUAAACCUCCUGAGUUGUCCACAGUGGAUAAGCCCAUGGAGGUGGCUUUUGCAAGAAUGCAUCCCCGUUGGCCAAUGGAAUGCCCCCUUUAGAAAGCUUCUGGGAAUUAGAUGUAUCUUUAGCACUGCCACAACGAAUUCCAAAAACAAAUAGAGCAAUGGGAGAGUGUUAUCAUGUACGUUUUACACUCGAUACGAUUAACGAAACCAAGAAAAGAUGGUAACUUCCUAUAAGAUUUAUCUUUAGCAUUGCCACAACAAACUUCAGAAAAAAGAACAAAGUGAGUAUUAUCAUGUAUAAUUUUACACUUGGAACUAAUAAUGGGGCAUAGAAAAGAAGAUGACUUCCUAGUAAAAGUAAUAGAUAAGUAGACAAGGAUUACAUUUAAGAAAUUUUAUAUUUACCUGGGUGUUUCUGCUUUCAAAACUUCUACGGAGAUCAUGUACGGCGCUUUUUCCCUAGAAUUCAGAAGAAUGGAUUCGUCUUCGGGAAUAUGAACAACACGAUAAACUCCUCUCCCCAUUGGAAAACAAAUUCCUGGAAGGUUAUUGGAAAGAAAAUGAGUAUCUGAUAACAAAGACAGUCACCACAACACAAUCAAUGUAGAUGAUAGAAAAAUACAUGAACCCAAAAAUGCUUCCAAAGGUUGAAGUGUAUAUGCUAAAAGGAUUGGACCACAUGAUUGUCUCAAGGUCAAAGGAAAUCCUAUAUAAGAUAAAUGAUAAAAGAGAACCAAGAACGAGGAAAAAAAUCUCCAAACAAGGGUGGAACGACUGUAUUAUGUUCUGAAAAUCUAAUCAGACAAGACAAGACAAUGACCAACAUCUACCCUACGUGGAACUUGUGUGGACAACAGAAAUAUGAUACAGAGGAGAUACUACUUUUUAAAGACAAGAAACAUGAUGUAGAUCUCAGCAAUAUAGAACGGGCUAAAUGUUUUCACAUACUCUCUCAGAGAAAAGCAUACGUGACCGAGAUAAUGUAUGCCAGCUCAAGAGAUAUGAGUUACACAAGUAAAGUAAACCUCCAAAUGAUAUCCCUUAAGAUCUAAUUUAAGAGAAUACCUCCGGUGAUUUCAGCUUCAGAUAAAUGAAAGUUAAUCUCUGCAAGAGACUAAAACCAAACGGAAGAAACAAGAAAUAUAGUCAGUUGCUUAAAUUUAACACUUGAAACUUAGUCAUAAAAAUGGAAAGUCAGGCAGAAAUGAUCACCUCCCGAAGAGCAAUCUUCCGAUUUUCAAUGGGAAAAAUAUCUACCAAGCCAUACGAUGUUUCACAUAACGCUUGUACAAACUCCAACGACUCAUGGUAAGCCCCUUUCCUGAAGUGUGAUGCGGUAUUGUUUGGUAGUGGGGGCUUACCAGAUGGAGUAUCAUCCCGCUGUCUAGGUGAACCUGGCCGCUUCUGCAAUGGUUACAUUUAGAAAGAUUGGUAUGAGCAGAAUCAAGCACAUAUUGCAGUAAAGAAUUUCCGCAUAGAUAAGUAAUCAAUUGCAGUCGAGAACACCCUGUUUCAGCUAAUAUUUGCGUCAAGAAAAUUUCACAAAAAGUCGAGAUAUAUGAUUAUAUCCUACAAGAAUCUUGACAAAUGAAUCUGUAGAUAUGGAUCGGAACAAAGGCGAAUGUAAGGACAGUGCAGAUGACAGAAACAUAACGAGCAAGUCAAAUGAGAGCAAACCUCUUUGUGUUUCUUUGAUCCAAAUAUCUCAGAAUCUUCAACAGACUGGUCACGGUCUCUAAACAAUUUACGGAAAAAGUUCUCCGUCCCAGGACUGCUUUCAGCUAAGCCAUUGCUGGUAUUUCCAUUUUCUGAAGUAGGUUUUGCGUCUUCUGGGUGUAUACGGAAUAAUCUUUUGAACAGAGAAAAUUCUGGAGAUUCAUCACCCUCGCUUUCAUUCCCGUCAUCAGCUUUGACAAUGUCUUUCUUGUCGUCAGGCUUUUCCUUAAAGAACUUUUUAAAGAAACCCUCCCUUUCAUCCUCUUCACCAGGUUUAUCAUCAGCAAGCACUGCUCCAUUCGUCUCGUUCUUUUCAUUAGCCUGUCUUUUGUCAUCAGAUUUAUCCUUGAAAAGUUUCUUAAGAAACCCAUCUUUGUCCUCAUCAUCCAUUGCUUUAGGACCUUUCUCUUCCUCGUUUUUGCUGUCACGGAAUAGUUUCUUGAAGAACCCUUCUGAGUUUGCAUUUGAAUCCUCAUCCUCGUUUUUAUUCUCCCGUAAUAACCUCUUGAAAAAACUCUCUGAGUUUGCAUUCAGUUCCUCUUCAUCGCCCUUAUUGUCUCGUAACAGCCGCUUAAACAGCCCAUCUGAACUCGAUGUCAAUUCCUCAUUUUCUCCUUUACUACUUAAGAGCCUCUUAAAGAACCCCUCAGAACUGUUUGUUAUCUCCUCGUCUUCUGAUUUAUUGUCUUUCAUAAGGCGCUUAAAGAAACCCUCCGAGUUAGAUGUUGGCUCAUCACCGUCACCUUUGCUGUCCCUCAUGAGCUUCUUGAAGAAUCCUUCCUUUUCACUCUCUUCAUCAUCUUUGUCAACUGACUUUCUAAACAUCAAAGCAUCUCUAACUUUAGGACUUGGGAUAAGUUUCUUAAAAAUCUUAUUAUCCUCAGAAGGUAAUUGACUACCAUCAUCCUGCGUGCUUCUCCCUGGCGACGGUGAGAACGACAAAGACUUCUGGGAAGGCGGAGAUAAGUUCAACGAGAAGAGCUUCUGUUUCGAUGACAACAGUCUACUUAGGACCUGAUUCUUGCUCCCAGGAGUUGAAACCUCAUUCUGUGGACGCAUAAGAGGAGACCACUCACCCAUCAGAGUAGCUGCAAUCUGACACUUCUCCUGAAUCCUGCUAAUACCUUCAUUAUCAUCAGAAUCCUCCAGCUCAGCCAACAAAAACCAAUGCACUUUCAGCGCAAUCUUCAAUGACUUGCAAAUGAAUUGAGCAUCAGAGUUAUUGCAACAAUUCAAUGACUAAAAAGAGACAUCAUGUAUCAGAUAGAAUUCAAAUGGCGAAAACAUACAGGUAAUUGCCGUCUAUAAGUUAUCAAUUAAGACGCACUCACCCUUACUUCCUCCAUGGCAACAGUACUUGGAACACGACGAUGUUCCUUUUUACGUGGGACUGCUGGAUCAGGAAUACUUUCCAUUCGAAGUCCUGGGUCAGCCGUCACGACCACCCUUACCCACUCAAGAUCAGUGUUGAGACCAGUACUGGGGGCCUCAGACAGAACAUCAUCAAAUGGAUCACUCAGUGAUGCAAGAGCUGAAGUACAAUUCUCCACUGAGAGGCUCACAUUGACAAGCUUCACCUUCACCUCUGACUUGGGAGUCAUUGCUUGAUCAAUUGCUUGGGCAGUGGAUAGCGACAUUCUGUCAGCACUGUUGCGAUAAACCUCCUGAGUUGUCCACAGUGGAUAAGCCCAUGGAGGUGGCUUUUGCAAGAAUGCAUCCCCGUUGGCCAAUGGAAUGCCCCCUUUAGAAAGCUUCUGGGAAUUAGAUGUAUCUUUAGCACUG
Molecule: long non-coding RNA, 3575 nt
Filed under: Brassica napus (rape)
Lineage: Eukaryota; Viridiplantae; Streptophyta; Magnoliopsida; Brassicales; Brassicaceae
Description: long non-coding RNA (BNAP_LNC005314)
Source: RNAcentral